Molecule: long non-coding RNA, 827 nt
Organism: Loxodonta africana (African savanna elephant)
Lineage: Eukaryota; Metazoa; Chordata; Mammalia; Proboscidea; Elephantidae
Exons: 2
Source: RefSeq, a predicted model, not a curated record
CUCUCCUAAACAAAAUAAAUAACAGUUCAAUAUACAACAUUUGCUCAAGCUAUUAUAAUUAGCUAGUUGUUAGUAAAUUUAAAAAAGAUUUUAACUAAACCAUUAUAUCAAAUUAUCUACAGUGAGAAAAAUGAUAUGCAUAAUCCCAAAUUCUAAUUUAUAAAUUUUUAUUAGGCUUUUUUGUACUGUACUCCUAUCUUUGGUUUCACUCAAAUUUUGUGAAGUCACACCAUUUCUAACAAAAUUAAACUUAAGUUGUAUUCAUUAAUAUCAAUAAUAUGUUGUUGUUAGGUGCUGUCGAGUCGGUUCCAACUCAUAGUGACCCUACGCACAACAGAACAAAACACUGCCUGGUCCUGCACCAUCCCUACAAUGUUGUUAUGCUUGAGCUCAUUGUUGCAGCCACUGUGUCAAUCCACCUCAUUGAGGGUGUUGCUCUUUUUUGCUGACCCUGUACUCUACGAAGCAUGAUGUCCUUCUCCAGGGACUCAUCCCUCCUGACAACACGUCCAAAAAGAGAUCUAAACACAGGAGCUCUGUGCUAGCCAUACUGUGGUUGACCAGUGGAUGAAGACAUAGGAAGAUCUGUAGAUAAAUGAAGAAGGAGACCAAUGUGCGGACACGGGGAGGAAGUUCUGAUGGCUUUCCAGCUCUUGAUUCUAAUUCCUUCCUGAAGCCCACAGUUCCUGUGACAUAUCUCUACAUUGCCCUAUUUUACCCUGAGUUGGUACUUUUAAGUGUUCUAAUGUACUGCUCUAUGAAAUAUACUGCCAUUAAAAAUAACUGAAGACGAUAUACUGCUGUUAAUAAUAACUAAAGACUAUGUA